Molecule: transfer RNA, 82 nt
Filed under: Longimicrobiales bacterium
Lineage: Bacteria; Pseudomonadati; Gemmatimonadota; Longimicrobiia; Longimicrobiales
Description: tRNA-Leu
Rfam family: tRNA
About the family: Transfer RNA (tRNA) molecules are approximately 80 nucleotides in length.
Source: RNAcentral
GCGAAAGUGGCGGAAUGGUAGACGCGCGAGACUUAGGAUCUCGUGGCUGCGUGCCGUGGGGGUUCGACUCCCCCCUUUCGCA